RNAcentral lists this long non-coding RNA (286 nucleotides) under Helianthus annuus (common sunflower). RNAcentral describes it as "hypothetical non coding rna". The stretch from base 8 to 91 matches the Rfam family "tRNA". The record is from RNAcentral. Lineage: Eukaryota; Viridiplantae; Streptophyta; Magnoliopsida; Asterales; Asteraceae.
AGGCGUUGGGUCGAUGCCCGAGUGGUUAAUGGGGACGGACUGUAAAUUCGUUGAUAAUAUGUCUACGCUGGUUCAAAUCCAGCUUGGCCCAACAAUUUGUCAAUCUACUAUCAGAUGGUAGAACACUCUUGUUCUUAAUAAAUACCUGACACGAGAGAAUAAAAAGGAAUCCAAAAUUUCUGCUAGAUCUCUUCUUAUUUCCCUGGGAUUGUAGUUCAAUAGGCAAGAGCACCCGCCCUGUCAUGGCAAACGUUGCGGGUUCGAGCCCCGUCAGUCCCGACGGAUC